Molecule: small nuclear RNA, 75 nt
Organism: Cricetulus griseus (Chinese hamster)
Lineage: Eukaryota; Metazoa; Chordata; Mammalia; Rodentia; Cricetidae
Source: Ensembl
GGGUAAAGAUAGAGAAUAUUAGCAUGGCCCCUCCGGAAGUAUGACACACAAAUUUGUGAAGGAUUCAUAUUUUUA